RNAcentral lists this long non-coding RNA (3375 nucleotides) under Homo sapiens (human). RNAcentral's name for it is "HSALNT0209244". Lineage: Eukaryota; Metazoa; Chordata; Mammalia; Primates; Hominidae. The record is from RNAcentral.
ACAACUGGUCCUUUUCAAUAGCCUCUAGAAAUCAUCUAUUUAUAAUUUUCCAGUUAAUGCUUCACAAUCAUCUCAUGACAUUGCUACUGUUGGUCUUACUUAGUCAUUUGCAGCCAAACGCAAAUGAAUCUCAGACAAAUUCUGCUUGUCAUAACUCUAUUCAUUGUGCUCUUUGGCCUAAUCUUAUCAUUGUUAAUAGUUCCGUAUGAUUCAGACACUGAUUUGGAUACUCGAGGUCCUCUGACUGAGUUUCCUAAACAAGAAAUGAUACUUCACAUGCCUGAAAAUGAAUAAUCUAGAAUAUUUCAUUAACAUUCAGCUGACCAGUUUUAAAUAAGAGCAGUUGGGAUUGCAUUCAAUUAAACUGGAGUCUAUAAGAGUGUCAUGAGGCAAGAUGGAGUUUCUUAUUGAAGGUGAAGGCCAAGCAAGACCAGCGACAGCAUCAUGACAGAGCAUCUCAUGGAACUAGUGAUCUACAAAAUACUUUGGAAGUCCUAGUACAGUUUGAGCUUGUGCAGAAAAUAUGGAGCAUUUUAAAUUGACCAAUCUUAAGUAAGUGAAGAAGACAAAGUUGGAAAGGUAAGUUAGAGUCAUAUCACGGAUGACUGUGACCUGCUGACUACUCUCUCCUGGAAACUCCCUUUCCUUAGCCACUAUGUUAAGGCAAGUCUGAAUGACUUUGGCUCAAAAUCUGCUCUGCCACUCACUUACUAAUCUUAAGACCUUCAGCAAAUUAUUUUUCUUUCCCUGAUUUUCCUUAUUUGCAUACCUAUAAAAUAGGGUUGUUAACAGGAAGGAUUCGAUGAGCCCAUGAAUAUAAACUACUUAUCAUACCUGACAAAUAAUAAAUGUUAUUUAUCUUUCCAUCUGGGGUGAUUCCCUUUCCUGCCUUUUGAAUAAUCCCCUCUGCUUCCUUAAUUGACACAGCAUUUUCUUCAGGUUCCUUAAAUAUAGGCUUUCCUUAGAAUUCCUUUAGCCACUUUUUUUUUUUUUGCUUACUCUAAAUGUUCUCCUUUAGUGAUAGCUUCAAUUCCCUAGCCUGAUACACUCCAUAUCUACAAACCUAGCCCUGAUAUUUCUCUAAAAUUCCAGAGAGUACUUCCAAACAACACCUGAACAUGUGUACCUGAAAUGUCCUACAGGUACUUUGAGCUUAUCAUGUUCAAAACUGCACAUAGUAUCUUCUGUUGUAGUGUACUUCCAUACUUCUUUUCCCUUCUGUAUUAUGUGUCCCAUUAUCAAACACCCAGUCGUCAAAGCUAGAAAACCUUGAAUUCAUUUUUUACUUUUUCUAUUCUCUCAACCCUGCCUUUGCCUCCACUACUUCCCUCCCCACAUUUGGGUGAUCAACUGAUCCACUGAUUCCAUUUCCAGAUUAUUUCUUGAAUUGAUUAGUACUGUUUCAUUCCUACUACAGGCUUUCAUCACAUUCUUAUCACCUCUCAUUUAGAUUUAUGAAAUAGGUUUCUAAUUUGUUUCACUCUUCCAGUUGAUCCUCCACACUAUGAUGUUUCUUAAAUACAAAAUUGAUUAUCUUAUUUUCAUAUCUUAAAACCUACAAAGAUUAUAAUUUUUCUAUCAAAUACCUUAAACAAACAAUGAACACUAGUUAAUGAUAGUCAUGCUGAAGUAUUUAGAGAGGAAUGUACUGAAACGUACAAUCUGUUUUGAAAUGUAUAAAAAAUAAAAUGAAUUGAUGGAUUAUAAAGGGAUAGAUAGGUGAUUAAACAAGUUUAGCAAAAUGUUAAUAGUACAAUCUAAUGGUAGUUAUACUAGUACUGAUUGUAGAAUUCUUUCCAUUUUAUUUAAAAAUAAAAUCUAUACUUUAAAACUGUUCAUAAUAAAAUGUUGGGGAAGGAGGAGUAAAACUAUGAAGGCUCCGGGUUGUCUACAGGGUAGCAUCCAAAUACCUUAAGUAGGCCCUUCACAACUUGGCUCCAAUCUACCACUCCAGCCUUCCAUCCUCCUACUGAUUUGACCCUAUGUUCUAACCAAAUGGAAUGAAUCAACAUCCCCUUAAUGCCUUAUAGACUUUUUUGUGGCUAAGCCUUUGUCAUCCUUCUAUCUUUGCCUGGAAGAGCCUUUCAUUAUUUUUCUGUCUGGCAAAUGUCUAAUCAUUUUUAACAGCAGCAGCAUCUCCUCUGGGAUGACUCCCCGGACAAAGUUAACUGAUUGAUAUUCAUUCUUUGUCUCUCUGCCUCUCUCUCUCUCAAUUGCAUUGUAGCACUUACCGUGUUGAGCUGUGAUUAAUACUUACGUAUGUGUUUUUCCCAACUGCACUAGCUGCUCCUUGAUGACUAUCUCCCAGUCUUUGUAUACACAAUACCCAGCAUAUCCCAACACAUUCUAGGUCCUCAAUAUGUCUCUGAAUUAAACUGAACACCAGACUAAGAAGUAUGCUAUUCCUUACGCAAAGUUUUAAGUUGCUGUCUCUGGGCCUUUUUACUUUGCUCAGUGGCAAUCUGUCUGUCCUCUGUUCCAUACGCCAGGGGUUUUUACUAUCGCUCAUCUUUAACCAGGGAUAAGUAUAUCAGCUGUUGUAUUUAAUCCAAAUGGGUUACAUACAUUUCAAAUCUGUCUUCUAUAAUUAUGGAGUAAGGGUUUUUCUUCCUAUAAAGACUUUUACGUGUGAGGAGAAGUUCACUGACAAUUAGCUAAUGCUUGGUCUAUUUCUAGAAGUGCUAAAAAUGACCUUAUGGAACCGCCUUUGCAAAAUUAUGACAGACAGUGAAAGAGAUCUAACUUAACUGACUGCACCUUGCUUCUAAUCUCCAAGCUGUCCUUGUUGAUUCCUGGGCAUAGGCUGAACUAACUUCGGGAGAAACUUAGUUUACAGUUUAAACAAAGACAGUAACAGCCCUUUCCCAAAGCAGACCUCCUUCUUGCCUGGGGACUAGAUUGCCUUUGUAGGACUCACAUUAGCCAGAAGAUUAAAAAUUAUGGUUUAGGAGUCAUGCAGCUGGAGGCUACAAGAUUCCGACCCUCCCUAAACUGCACCUAAGAUCAGUGCUUGAGAUAUUUUGCAGCCCCUGCACUUGAUGGAUCAGCUGGCACCACCCAGAUCAAUAAACUGGCUCAUCUGAUCUUCUGGACCCCCACCCAGGAAAUGAUUCAGCACAAGAAGACAGCUCUAACUCCCUAUGAUUUCAUCUCUGACCAAUCGGCUCUCCUGGAACACUGGCUUCCCCCACCCACCAAGUUAUCCUUAAAAACUCUGCUCCCCAAAUGCUCAGGGAGACUGAUUUGAGUAAUAAUAAAACCCUGGUCUCCCGCACAGCUGGCUCUGUGUGAAUUACUCUUUUUCUAUUACAGUUCCCCUGUCCUGAUGAAUCGGCUCUGUCUAGGCAGCAGGCAAGGUGAAUCCCUUAGGCAGUU